CCCUUAGAUGUUCUGGGCCGCACGCGUGCUACACUGAGUGGAUCAGCGGGUCAGGUUGCGCGAAAGUGUUUCCUAAUCUUUAAAUCCGCUCGUGAUGGGGAUUGACGGUUGCAAUUUUCCGUCAUGAACGAGGAAUACCUUGUAAGCGCGGGUCAUCAUCCCGCGCUGAAUACGUCCCUGCCCUUUGUACACACCGCCCGUCGCUCCUACCGAUUGAGUGGUCCGGUGAGGCUUUGGGAUCUGAGCGGAAAGAGCGUUUCGCUGUUUCUGCCCGGAAAACUCAGUCGAACCUUAUCAUUUAGAGGAAGGUGAAGUCGUAACA
Molecule: ribosomal RNA, 322 nt
Filed under: uncultured eukaryote
Lineage: Eukaryota
Description: partial 18S ribosomal RNA
Rfam family: Eukaryotic small subunit ribosomal RNA
Source: RNAcentral